CGUACCUUUUGUAUAAUGGGUCAGCGACUUAUAUUCUGUAGCAAGGUUAACCGAAUAGGGGAGCCGAAGGGAAACCGAGUCUUAACUGGGCGUUAAGUUGCAGGGUAUAGACCCGAAACCCGGUGAUCUAGCCAUGGGCAGGUUGAAGGUUGGGUAACACUAACUGGAGGACCGAACCGACUAAUGUUGAAAAAUUAGCGGAUGACUUGUGGCUGGGGGUGAAAGGCCAAUCAAACCGGGAGAUAGCUGGUUCUCCCCGAAAGCUAUUUAGGUAGCGCCUCGUGAAUUCAUCUCCGGGGGUAGAGCACUGUUUCGGCAAGGGGGUCAUCCCGACUUACCAACCCGAUGCAAACUGCGAAUACCGGAGAAUGUUAUCACGGGAGACACACGGCGGGUGCUAACGUCCGUCGUGAAGAGGGAAACAACCCAGACCGCCAGCUAAGGUCCCAAAGUCAUGGUUAAGUGGGAAACGAUGUGGGAAGGCCCAGACAGCCAGGAUGUUGGCUUAGAAGCAGCCAUCAUUUAAAGAAAGCGUAAUAGCUCACUGGUCGAGUCGGCCUGCGCGGAAGAUGUAACGGGGCUAAACCAUGCACCGAAGCUGCGGCAGCGACACUAUGUGUUGUUGGGUAGGGGAG
Molecule: ribosomal RNA, 635 nt
Filed under: Escherichia coli
Lineage: Bacteria; Pseudomonadati; Pseudomonadota; Gammaproteobacteria; Enterobacterales; Enterobacteriaceae
Description: partial 23S ribosomal RNA
Rfam family: Bacterial large subunit ribosomal RNA
Source: RNAcentral